Molecule: ribosomal RNA, 787 nt
Filed under: uncultured Lentibacter sp.
Lineage: Bacteria; Pseudomonadati; Pseudomonadota; Alphaproteobacteria; Rhodobacterales; Roseobacteraceae
Description: bacterial SSU rRNA
Rfam family: Bacterial small subunit ribosomal RNA
Source: RNAcentral
UGGCGGCAGGCCUAACACAUGCAAGUCGAGCGCUACCUUCGGGUGGAGCGGCGGACGGGUUAGUAACGCGUGGGAACGUACCCAGAUCUAAGGAAUAGCCACUGGAAACGGUGAGUAAUACCUUAUACGCCCUUCGGGGGAAAGAUUUAUCGGAUUUGGAUCGGCCCGCGUUAGAUUAGAUAGUUGGUGGGGUAAUGGCCUACCAAGUCUACGAUCUAUAGCUGGUUUUAGAGGAUGAUCAGCAACACUGGGACUGAGACACGGCCCAGACUCCUACGGGAGGCAGCAGUGGGGAAUCUUGGACAAUGGGCGCAAGCCUGAUCCAGCCAUGCCGCGUGAGUGAUGAAGGCCUUAGGGUCGUAAAGCUCUUUCGCCAGAGAUGAUAAUGACAGUAUCUGGUAAAGAAACCCCGGCUAACUCCGUGCCAGCAGCCGCGGUAAUACGGAGGGGGUUAGCGUUGUUCGGAAUUACUGGGCGUAAAGCGUACGUAGGCGGAUUAGUCAGUCAGAGGUGAAAUCCCAGGGCUCAACCCUGGAACUGCCUUUGAUACUGCUAGUCUUGAGUUCGAGAGAGGUGAGUGGAAUUCCAAGUGUAGAGGUGAAAUUCGUAGAUAUUUGGAGGAACACCAGUGGCGAAGGCGGCUCACUGGCUCGAUACUGACGCUGAGGUACGAAAGUGUGGGGAGCAAACAGGAUUAGAUACCCUGGUAGUCCACACCGUAAACGAUGAAUGCCAGUCGUCGGGCAGUAUACUGUUCGGUGACACACCUAACGGAUUAAGCAUCCGC